RNAcentral lists this ribosomal RNA (460 nucleotides) under uncultured bacterium. RNAcentral's name for it is "partial 16S ribosomal RNA". It matches the Rfam family "Bacterial small subunit ribosomal RNA", at positions 338 to 795 of the family's 1533-position model. The record is from RNAcentral.
CCUACGGGUGGCAGCAGUGAGGAAUAUUGGUCAAUGGGCGCGAGCCUGAACCAGCCAAGUAGCGUGAAGGAUGACUGCCCUACGGGUUGUAAACUUCUUUUAUAAAGGAAUAAAGUGAGGCACGUGUGCCUUUUUGUAUGUCCUUUAUGAAUAAGGCUCGGCUAACUCCGGGCCAGCAGCCGCGGUAAUACGGAGGAUCCGGGCGUUAUCCGGAUUUGUUGGGUUUAAAGGGAGCGUAGAUGGGUUGGUAAGUCAGUUGUGAAAGUUUGCGGCCCAAACGUAAAAUUGCAAUUGAUACUGGCAGCCUUGAGUACAGUUGAGGUAGGCGGAAUUCGUGGUGUAGCGGUGAAAUGCUUAGAUAUCACGAAGAACUCCGAUUGCGAAGGCAGCUUACUAAACUGCCACUGACAUUGAUGCUCGAAAGUGUGGGGAUCAAACAGGAUUAGAUACCCGAGUAGUC